RNAcentral lists this ribosomal RNA (256 nucleotides) under uncultured bacterium. Its description in RNAcentral is "partial 16S ribosomal RNA". It matches the Rfam family "Bacterial small subunit ribosomal RNA", at positions 524 to 776 of the family's 1533-position model. The record is from RNAcentral.
UACAGAGGGUGCGAGCGUUAAUCGGAAUUACUGGGCGUAAAGCGUGCGUAGACGGCUAUCUAAGUCGGGUGUGAAAACUCCAGGCUCAACCUGGAGACGCCACCCGAUACUGCUGUGACUUGGAGUCCGGUAGGGGACCACGGAAUUCCUGGUGUAGCGGUGAAAUGCGCAGAUAUCAGGAGGAACACCGGUGGCGAAGGCGGUGGUCUGGGCCGGCACUGACGCUGGAGGAGCGAAAGCCGUGGGGAGCAACAGG